AGUGAACGCUGGCGGCAGGCCUAAUACAUGCAAGUCGAGCGGCCGCACAGUAAGAUCUUGCUUCUACCGGUGGCGGGUGGCGGAUGAGUGAGAAAUACAUAGGAUACUAAUAUUUCUUGGGGGACUUCGUAGAGAAACAUCUGCUACUACAUCAUAUAUCGUACCGGUGAAUUCAGGAGUGCUUCGCACUUUUCCUGUUUGUUUGAGCUGAUGUCGGAUUACCUAGUGUGCGUGGUAAAGGCCCACCAAGGCGACGAUCCGUAGCUGGUCUGAGAGGAUGAUCAGCCACACUGGAACUGAGACACGGUCCAGACUCCUACGGGAGGCAGCAGUGGGGAAUAUUGGACAAUGGGCGCAAGCCUGAUCCAGCCAUACCGCGUGGGUGAAGAAGGCCUUCGGGUUGUAAAACUCUUUUGUUAGGAAAGAAAAGCAGCAUAUGAAAACCCCGCUGUUCUGACGGUACCCAAAGAGUAAGCACCGGCUAACUUCGUG
This 492-nucleotide ribosomal RNA is filed under the name uncultured bacterium. Its description in RNAcentral is "partial 16S ribosomal RNA". It matches the Rfam family "Bacterial small subunit ribosomal RNA", at positions 29 to 507 of the family's 1533-position model. The record is from RNAcentral.